Pipistrellus kuhlii (Kuhl's pipistrelle) is the source of this 266-nucleotide long non-coding RNA. RefSeq lists it as uncharacterized. The record is from RefSeq and is a predicted model, not a curated record. The transcript is spliced from 2 exons. NCBI's taxonomy places the organism in Eukaryota, Metazoa, Chordata, Mammalia, Chiroptera, Vespertilionidae.
GGAUCAUGACAUUUUGGUAAGAGUGUAGUUGCUAGUACCAGGCUGGGUUAAUUUUUAGCAUAUCUUGUUCCUAAUUGACAGCUAUUGAACAAUAAAGCUAAGUACCUCAGUUUCCUAAUCUGUAAGUUUUUCCAAGGACAGCAGUAGUAAGGAAGAAACCCCCACAUUUAUCACUAUCAUAUUAACACUAUCUAAAAGUUGUUUGAUUGUUUGCUUACAAUUCAAAUGCCUAUCUCUCCUAAUUAGAAUUAAACUGUUUUUAAGGC